UACAGAGGGCUCAAGCGUUGUUCGGAUUCAUUGGGCGUAAAGGGUGCGUAGGCGGCGCCGUAAGUCAGGUGUGAAAUUUCGAGGCUUAACCUCGAAACUGCAUUUGAUACUGCGGUGCUUGAGGACUGGAGAGGAGAAUGGAAUUCCUGGUGUAGCGGUGAAAUGCGCAGAUAUCAGGAGGAACACCGGUGGCGAAGGCGGUUCUCUGGGCAUGUCCUGACGCUGAGGAGCGAAAGUGUGGGGAGCGAACAGG
Molecule: ribosomal RNA, 253 nt
Filed under: uncultured bacterium
Lineage: Bacteria
Description: partial 16S ribosomal RNA
Rfam family: Bacterial small subunit ribosomal RNA
Source: RNAcentral